UAACUUCACCCUGAAUAACAUAGUCCAAAUUCAACUAUACCCAUCUAGGGCAACUUUAAAGGGCAGGUAAAGGCCUUGCCCCUCUCUCAAAAUUGAAAAUCAUGCAAUUUAAUCUGUUUAUAACUAAUGAAAAAUUAAAUUAAUAUCUGAUAAAAUUACACUUUAAUCCCUCAAAAAUAAAAAAUAAAAAUAUUUAAUCCUUUCAAAAAUAAUAAAACCAG
Molecule: long non-coding RNA, 221 nt
Filed under: Gossypium barbadense (sea-island cotton)
Lineage: Eukaryota; Viridiplantae; Streptophyta; Magnoliopsida; Malvales; Malvaceae
Description: long non-coding RNA (GBAR_LNC020150)
Source: RNAcentral